AUUGAACGCUGGCGGCAGGCCUAACACAUGCAAGUCGAGCGGAUGAAGGGAGCUUGCUCCUGGAUUCAGCGGCGGACGGGUGAGUAAUGCCUAGGAAUCUGCCUGGUAGUGGGGGAUAACGUCCGGAAACGGGCGCUAAUACCGCAUACGUCCUGAGGGAGAAAGUGGGGGAUCUUCGGACCUCACGCUAUCAGAUGAGCCUAGGUCGGAUUAGCUAGUUGGUGGGGUAAAGGCCUACCAAGGCGACGAUCCGUAACUGGUCUGAGAGGAUGAUCAGUCACACUGGAACUGAGACGCGGUCCAGACGCCUACGGGAGGCAGCAGUGGGGAAUAUUGGACAAUGGGCGAAAGCCUGAUCCAGCCAUGCCGCGUGUGUGAAGAAGGUCUUCGGAUUGUAAAGCACUUUAAGUUGGGAGGAAGGGCAGUAAGUUAAUACCUUGCUGGUUUGACGUUACCAACAGAAUAAGCACCGGCUAACUUCGUG
This 484-nucleotide ribosomal RNA is filed under the name uncultured bacterium. RNAcentral's name for it is "partial 16S ribosomal RNA". It matches the Rfam family "Bacterial small subunit ribosomal RNA", at positions 30 to 507 of the family's 1533-position model. The record is from RNAcentral.